ACAGGGAAGCACAGGAGUCAGGGAAACACAGCGGCAACAGCGAGAUCAUCAUUCCAUGUUUAUGAUCCAUCAACACGAGCCAUCAAAUUGUAUACAAACAAACGCAACGGAGAUCAAAAGCCAUGCUCUUUACACAGAAACGCAGAAACACAUACGGAAUCUGUGCUGCUGCCGAGCGCUCUACCUCUUUCUUUUUUCUUGUGCGGGAUAUGGUAUUGUGAUGUUAAUGAGAGGUUUAAAUCGCAAGAAAUUAGAGUAGAAAUUUCACCAUUUAUACUGAUAGUGG
RNAcentral lists this long non-coding RNA (286 nucleotides) under Drosophila guanche. The record is from RNAcentral. Lineage: Eukaryota; Metazoa; Arthropoda; Insecta; Diptera; Drosophilidae.